RNAcentral lists this ribosomal RNA (497 nucleotides) under uncultured bacterium. RNAcentral describes it as "partial 16S ribosomal RNA". It matches the Rfam family "Bacterial small subunit ribosomal RNA", at positions 28 to 507 of the family's 1533-position model. The record is from RNAcentral.
GAUGAACGCUGGCGGCGUGCCUAAUACAUGCAAGUCGAGCGAACAGACGAGGAGCUUGCUCCUCUGACGUUAGCGGCGGACGGGUGAGUAACACGUGGAUAACCUACCUAUAAGACUGGGAUAACUUCGGGAAACCGGAGCUAAUACCGGAUAAUAUAUUGAACCGCAUGGUUCAAUAGUGAAAGACGGUUUUGCUGUCACUUAUAGAUGGAUCCGCGCCGCAUUAGCUAGUUGGUAAGGUAACGGCUUACCAAGGCGACGUUGCGUAGCCGACCUGAGAGGGUGAUCGGCCACACGGGAACUGAGACACGGACCAGACUCCUACGGGAGGCAGCAGUAGGGAAUCUUCCGCAAUGGGCGAAAGCUUGACGGAGCAACGCCGCGUGAGUGAUGAAGGUCUUCGGAUCGUAAAACUCUGUUAUUAGGGAAGAACAAAUGUGUAAGUAACUAUGCACGUCUUGACGGUACCUAAUCAGAAAGCCACGGCUAACUACGUG